This 219-nucleotide ribosomal RNA is filed under the name uncultured bacterium. RNAcentral describes it as "partial 16S ribosomal RNA". It matches the Rfam family "Bacterial small subunit ribosomal RNA", at positions 1282 to 1500 of the family's 1533-position model. The record is from RNAcentral.
ACCAUCUCAGUUCGGAUUGUAGUCUGCAACUCGACUACAUGAAGCUGGAAUCGCUAGUAAUCGCAGAUCAGAAUGCUGCGGUGAAUACGUUCCCGGGUCUUGUACACACCGCCCGUCACACCAUGGGAGUCGGAAAUGCCCGAAGUCAGUGACCUAACCGAAAGGGAGGAGCUGCCGAAGGUGGAGCCGGUAACUGGGGUGAAGUCGUAACAAGGUACC